AUUGAACGCUGGCGGCAGGCUUAACACAUGCAAGUCGAGCGGGGUGAUGGUGCUUGCACUAUCACUUAGCGGCGGACGGGUGAGUAAUGCUUAGGAAUCUGCCUAUUAGUGGGGGACAACAUCUCGAAAGGGAUGCUAAUACCGCAUACGUCCUACGAGAGAAAGCAGGGGAUCGCUUGUGACCUUGCGCUAAUAGAUGAGCCGAAGUCGGAUUAGCUAGUUGGUGGGGUAAAGGCCUACCAAGGCGACGAUCUGUAGCGGGUCUGAGAGGAUGAUCCGCCACACUGGGACUGAGACACGGCCCAGACUCCUACGGGAGGCAGCAGUGGGGAAUAUUGGACAAUGGGGGGAACCCUGAUCCAGCCAUGCCGCGUGUGUGAAGAAGGCCUUAUGGUUGUAAAGCACUUUAAGCGAGGAGGAGGCUCUUUUGGUUAAUACCCAAGAUGAGUGGACGUUACUCGCAGAAUAAGCACCGGCUAACUCUGUGCCAGCCGCCGCGGUAA
Molecule: ribosomal RNA, 503 nt
Filed under: uncultured bacterium
Lineage: Bacteria
Description: partial 16S ribosomal RNA
Rfam family: Bacterial small subunit ribosomal RNA
Source: RNAcentral